CGCUGAAGCGGGCGGGGCGGCCGUUGGAGUGGGCGAUCCUCGCGUCCCGCACGCCCGGCCCCGGCCCCCACCUCGCCUCUCUUCAGCAUGUCCCAUUUAUUCAUGAUCUUCAUGGCGUACACCUGGCCCGUCUGCUUCAUCUUCACCACCGCUACCUGAAGGCCAAAACCGGGCCCCGCCCAUUGCACGAGAAGUCGCGUCUCCGGCUCCGCGGAUCGGCAGUGGCCGUUCACAGCUCACCUCGCUGAACGCCCCGCGUCCGAUCACCUUCAGAAUUUCGAAGUCAUCCCUCUGCAGUCGGGCUUCCUUAAGCCUCUCGGCGAUGGGCUCCACUGGGGGGCGAGGGGAGGUGAGAACCUAGGCUACUGGGCCUGACGCUGGAGGCAAGAGGAAGUCCCACCCUCUGCCCCUCAGGCUCCCCCUCUCUCCAUCCCUCGAUCUCCUCUGUCCCCUGUUCUCUCCUCUCUCUGCUUCUUUCCUAGGACUGUCAGCCUCCCAAGGGCUUCCCCACCAAAACACUGUAUGAGGUUUGGGGGGACCCCAAACUGCCCUCCUAUAGAAAAAGGUGGGAUGCCUGGGAACCCCUUUUUGGGAAGGAAGGUCAUCGGGCUGGAAGACCGCAGUGGCUGCAGGUGAAGAGGGCGGGCUCUGCAGGAUAGCGGGAGAAGAUAAGAGACCCCGUCGUAGGGCCCCUCAGGCCCCACCCCCACCCGGGCUGGGGGUGGGAGUGCCCAAGAGGCCCACCCCAGCAUUCUCAGUCUGCCUCUGGUCACCUGCUGGAACAUUCGGUUUAAUCCAGUACCUCCAGGUUUAUGAGGCAGGUGGCUUUGGACCACACUUUGGGAGACCUGGAUUUGGGGCUGGGGCUGGGAGAAGGAACAAGGACAAGGCCAGCGUGGUCCCCGAAA
Molecule: long non-coding RNA, 908 nt
Organism: Suricata suricatta (meerkat)
Lineage: Eukaryota; Metazoa; Chordata; Mammalia; Carnivora; Herpestidae
Exons: 2
Source: RefSeq, a predicted model, not a curated record